UACGUAUGGUGCAAGCGUUAUCCGGAUUUACUGGGUGUAAAGGGAGCGCAGGCGGCGCGUUAAGCCUGGUGUGAAAGCCCGCGGCCCAACCGCGGGACUGCAUUGGGAACUGGCGCGCUGGAGUGCCGGAGGGGUAGGCGGAAUUCCUAGUGUAGCGGUGAAAUGCGUAGAUAUUAGGAGGAACACCAGUGGCGAAGGCGGCCUACUGGACGGUGACUGACGCUGAGGCACGAAAGCGUGGGGAGCAAAUAGG
Molecule: ribosomal RNA, 253 nt
Filed under: uncultured bacterium
Lineage: Bacteria
Description: partial 16S ribosomal RNA
Rfam family: Bacterial small subunit ribosomal RNA
Source: RNAcentral